This 363-nucleotide transfer-messenger RNA is filed under the name Escherichia coli. RNAcentral's name for it is "Standard tmRNA". It matches the Rfam family "transfer-messenger RNA". Rfam says of the family: Bacterial tmRNA, also known as 10Sa RNA or SsrA, is named for its dual tRNA and mRNA-like properties. Its role is to liberate the mRNA from a stalled ribosome. Lineage: Bacteria; Pseudomonadati; Pseudomonadota; Gammaproteobacteria; Enterobacterales; Enterobacteriaceae. The record is from RNAcentral.
GGGGCUGAUUCUGGAUUCGACGGGAUUUGCGAAACCCAAGGUGCAUGCCGAGGGGCGGUUGGCCUCGUAAAAAGCCGCAAAAAAUAGUCGCAAACGACGAAAACUACGCUUUAGCAGCUUAAUAACCUGCUUAGAGCCCUCUCUCCCUAGUCUCCGCUCUUAGGACGGGGAUCAAGAGAGGUCAAACCCAAAAGAGAUCGCGUGGAAGCCCUGCCUGGGGUUGAAGCGUUAAAACUUAAUCAGGCUAGUUUGUUAGUGGCGUGUCCGUCCGCAGCUGGCAAGCGAAUGUAAAGACUGACUAAGCAUGUAGUACCGAGGAUGUAGGAAUUUCGGACGCGGGUUCAACUCCCGCCAGCUCCACCA